AUGUAUCCAGUAGCUUGGGCUGUUGUGGAGAAGGAGACAAAUGAGAGUUGGGCCUGGUUCAUUGGUCUUUUAAUCAAAGACUUGGACAUUCUGAUAAGCAAAAAGUUAAAUUUAUUUACUGCCUUAUUCAAUUAUUGA
Molecule: ribosomal RNA, 138 nt
Filed under: Triticum aestivum (bread wheat)
Lineage: Eukaryota; Viridiplantae; Streptophyta; Magnoliopsida; Poales; Poaceae
Description: partial small subunit ribosomal RNA
Source: RNAcentral